UGUGGCGAGGCAGCCUUAAGGGGAAACGAUUCCAAUCUCGUUAGUGCGCUUGGUCGGAAGGGAGCCAGGCAAUUGGGCCCGCAAACAACCAGAAAAUUUGAUUAGGAAGUCAUGGACUCGUCAUAGGAGUUGGUCCAUCCAGUUAUACAUUGGACCCUUAUCUUCUGGGAUUCUACAGUGGGAAGGGAGAUGCUCUUUUAAAGCAGAAACAUGCUUUCCAGCGGCUGGCUUCUCUGAAUGGAGAAGGUAAACAGCCAGCAUGACAUAUCUCCAGCUGUUCCCAAGCUCUUGCAGUUGCUUCCUGGAAAAAAGGAGACACAAACUGUGUGUAGAGAUGGUCUCCUAAAGCCAGAGAUUGCAUGGAGUCAUCCCAGGGGGUCGGCACUGGUUCCUGCCUGACACUGCACAUCUUCACCUCACCCUCAAGUGAGAGUUGGUUUCCAGUUGUGUUAUUUGCUGUGUUUUCCACUGUGUUUCUCCACUAGUCCAAAUGAGGCUACCACAGGAAUUGGAAAGACAGAGCACCUCUUCUACAAGGGAAUUGGUUCAGCCUGGAAAAGUGGCUUAGGGGUGAUCUAUUUGCUGCCUCCAGUUCCUGAAGGGAACCCACAAGAAAGAGCGGGACGUUUUACAAGGGCAUGUGAUGACAGGACAAGAGGGAAUGGAUCCAAAGCAAGCGUGGUUUUAGAUUAGGUAUUAGGAAAAAAUUCUUGACUGUGAGGGUGGUGAGGCACUGGAGCAGGUUGUCCAGAGAAGUGAAUGUCCCAUCCCUUGAAGUGUUCCAAGCCAGGCUGCAGGGGCUCUAAGCAGCCUGGUCCAGUGAAAUGUAUCCCUGCCAAUGGCAGGGAUUGGAACUAGAGGAACCCUAAGGUCCCUUCCAACCCAAGCUAUUCUAGGAUUCUAUAAGAUUUCAGCAAAUAAAUCUGGGUUCAAAAUGCAGUGGAUUAAUAUUUCUCCACUGCAAGAGCUCACUGACUGGAAGAUUGUACCAACACAUCUGUGGCUCCAAAAGAUAAGAUCCGCAUUUUACAGGUUUACAUUCUGAUAAAUAGUAAAGCAGAAGUCAGUAUCUGCAUCAACAGUAUUGCCAUCACUUGCCAAAGACCUCUUUUUGCCUCCUGUUCACAAGCUCAUCUGAGGAUUAUUGUAAAUUAGGUUUUGAAGCCUAUCCCCUCCAAGAUAAGAUCGCUGGAGUCCUUCAUCAUAGUUAAGAGGGCCUCCUCUCAGUAGGUUACCAGGAGCCUGCAUGUGGCUGACUAAGGUUUGGCUGGUUGCUUGAGGAAAAUGUGCUGAGCUGGCUUGCUCAGCAACAGAGUAUCUAGAGAAAGAGAAAAACAGGUCCUGUCUGGAGAAGGACCAGUUCAAGGCUGGGGAAAGUAGAGUUAUAUCUCUAGGGGAAACAGGAGUAGAACUUGGGGAUCUUACCUAGCUCCAGUGCACUUCCCUGCACCUUCAAUACUUAAAAAAAUACCACAAAAGUGAGCUUCCUUUUAAUAAGCUGGUUUACAUCAUCUAAGUGCUAUGCUAUGUCAAUUCUAAUUAGAUCAGUGUGUACUGCAAAUGAGAGUCUUUCUACCUAGUCCCAGUUGGAAGCAUAUCUAAAAAUCUUCAGAUGACAUUGUUACUUGUUUACAUCUUGCCUCCUUUUCCUGCAAGAGAUUUGAAAGUUUAACUUCUCAGUUUCAAUCAAAAGUGGCUGCAAAUGUGUAUUAUAAAAGCAGCAAACACAGGGAUUAUUUAAGAGCCUUUCAGCCAUAUGUGGGACACGUACAGGUGGUAGAAUCACUGGGGUAGAGAAUGGUAUCCCUACUGUGUGCAAAUAUUUUGUUGUAAUAAUAAAAUUUUUUCACUGCA
Molecule: long non-coding RNA, 1854 nt
Organism: Melospiza melodia melodia
Lineage: Eukaryota; Metazoa; Chordata; Aves; Passeriformes; Passerellidae
Exons: 2
Source: RefSeq, a predicted model, not a curated record